Molecule: ribosomal RNA, 467 nt
Filed under: uncultured bacterium
Lineage: Bacteria
Description: bacterial SSU rRNA
Rfam family: Bacterial small subunit ribosomal RNA
Source: RNAcentral
AUUGAACGCUGGCGGCAUGCCUUACACAUGCAAGUCGAACGGUAGAGGGGGCAACCCCUUGAGAGUGGCGAACGGGUGAGUAAUAUAUCGGAACGUGCCCAGUCGUGGGGAUAACGUAGCGAAAGUUACGCUAAUACCGCAUACGAUCUAUGGAUGAAAGCGGGGGAUCGCAAGACCUCGCGCGAUUGGAGCGGCCGAUAUCAGAUUAGGUAGUUGGUGAGGUAAAGGCUCACCAAGCCGACGAUCUGUAGCUGGUCUGAGAGGACGACCAGCCACACUGGGACUGAGACACGGCCCAGACUCCUACGGGAGGCAGCAGUGGGAAUAUUGGACAAUGGGCGAAAGCCUGAUCCAGCAAUGCCGCGUGAGUGAUGAAGGCCUUAGGGUUGUAAAGACUCUUUUACCCGAGAUGAUAAUGACAGUAUCGGAGAAUAAGCUCCGGCUAACUCCGUGCCAGCAGCCGCGGU